This 1403-nucleotide ribosomal RNA is filed under the name uncultured bacterium. RNAcentral's name for it is "16S ribosomal RNA". It matches the Rfam family "Bacterial small subunit ribosomal RNA". The record is from RNAcentral.
GAGUUUGAUCCUGGCUCAGAGUGAACGCUGGCGGCAGGCCUAACACAUGCAAGUCGAACGGCAGCACAGGGGAGCUUGCUCCCCGGGUGGCGAGUGGCGGACGGGUGAGGAAUACAUCGGAAUCUGCCUAUCUGUGGGGGAUAACCUCGGGAAACCGGGACUAAUACCGCAUACGACCUACGGGUGAAAGCAGGGGACCUUCGGGCCUUGCGCGGAUAGAUGAGCCGAUGUCGGAUUAGCUAGUUGGAGGGGUAAUGGCCCACCAAGGCGACGAUCCGUAGCUGGUCUGAGAGGAUGAUCAGCCACACUGGAACUGAGACACGGUCCAGACUCCUACGGGAGGCAGCAGUGGGGAAUAUUGGACAAUGGGCGAAAGCCUGAUCCAGCCAUGCCGCGUGAGUGAAGAAGGCCUUCGGGUUGUAAAGCUCUUUUGUUGGGAAAGAAAAGCAAUCGGCUAAUACCCGGUUGUUCUGACGGUACCCAAAGAAUAAGCACCGGCUAACUUCGUGCCAGCAGCCGCGGUAAUACGAAGGGUGCAAGCGUUACUCGGAAUUACUGGGCGUAAAGCGUGCGUAGGUGGUUCGUUAAGUCUGAUGUGAAAGCCCUGNGCUCAACCUGGGAAUUGCAUUGGAUACUGGCGGGCUAGAGUGCGGUACAGGAUGGCGGAAUCCCUGNUGUAGCAGUGAAAUGCGUAAAGAUCAGGAGAAACAUCGGUGUCGAAGCCGUCCAUCUGGACCACCACUGACACUGAGGCACGAAAGCGUGGGGAGCACACAGGAUUAGAUACCCUGGUAGUCCACGCCCUAAACGAUGCGAACUGGAUGUUGGGUUCAACUAGGAACUCAGCAUCGAAGCUAACGCGUUAAGUUCGCCGCCUGGGGAGUACGUUCGCAAGACUGAAACUCAAAGGAAUUGACGGGGGCCCGCACAAGCGGUGGAGUAUGUGGUUUAAUUCGAUGCAACGCGAAGAACCUUACCUGGCCUUGACAUGCACGGAACUUUCCAGAGAUGGAUUGGUGCCUUCGGGAACCGUGACACAGGUGCUGCAUGGCUGUCGUCAGCUCGUGUCGUGAGAUGUUGGGUUAAGUCCCGCAACGAGCGCAACCCUUGUCCUUAGUUGCCAGCACGUAAUGGUGGGAACUCUAAGGAGACCGCCGGUGACAAACCGGAGGAAGGUGGGGAUGACGUCAGGUCAUCAUGGCCCUUACGGCCAGGGCUACACACGUACUACAAUGGGAAGGACAGAGGGCUGCAAACCCGCGAGGGCAAGCCAAUCCCAGAAACCUUCUCUCAGUCCGGAUUGGAGUCUGCAACUCGACUCCAUGAAGUCGGAACCGCUAGUAAUCGCAGAUCAGCAUUGCUGCGGUGAAUACGUUGCCCGGGCCUGUACACACCGCCCGUCA